RNAcentral lists this long non-coding RNA (228 nucleotides) under Gallus gallus (chicken). The record is from RNAcentral. Lineage: Eukaryota; Metazoa; Chordata; Aves; Galliformes; Phasianidae.
CUGGUUUCCAAGUGGAGAUGUCACACCAUGAAAUCUCCCUCUGUGCCAUGCUGAUUUCUCCAUCUCAGUGGAGAAGCCAAGGAUCGAAUGCUCCAAGGUGCUAGACUGUUUUCCUUUCCAGCCUGCAGAGUUCCUUGUGUGGGUCAGACCAGAGCAUGUGAUGAAAGCACCGCAAUGUGUUGGCCAUGGGAAAGCCAUCCGGUGGUGAACCCUCAUCCCCACGAGCAC